GACGAACGCUGGCGGCGUGCUUAACACAUGCCAGUCGAACGGAAAGGCCUGCUUUCCCUUGUGGUUUGCGGGUACUCGAGUGGCGAACGGGUGAGUAACACGUGAGUGAUCUGUCCCCAACUUGGGUAUAAGCCUGGGAAACGGGGUCUAAUUCCCGAUAGGACUGCAGGGUGGUGCCUGUGGUGGAAAACGAUUUUCUUGUGGUUGGGGAUGAGCUUGUGGCCGAUCAGCUUGGUGGUGGGGUAAUGGCCUACCAAGGCGACGACGGGUAGCCGGACUGAGCGGAUGAUGAUCGACACUGGCACUGAGACACGGACCAGGCUCAUACGGGUGGGAGAGGUGGGGAUUGUGAGUCAAGGAGAGCGAGCGGGAUCCAGACGCAGCGCCGCGGUGUAGAAGAUGUCGGGCUUGUGGAGGUAUUCUGCUGGGGAAGACGAGGAGGCGGCCAGGUUGGAGCGGUGGUGACGGUACUGGAAGAAGAAGCACCGGCUAACUACGUG
RNAcentral lists this ribosomal RNA (500 nucleotides) under uncultured bacterium. RNAcentral describes it as "partial 16S ribosomal RNA". It matches the Rfam family "Bacterial small subunit ribosomal RNA", at positions 28 to 507 of the family's 1533-position model. The record is from RNAcentral.